GACGAACGCUGGCGGCGUGCUUAACACAUGCAAGUCGAACGGAAAGGCCCUGCUUGCAGGGUACUCGAGUGGCGAACGGGUGAGUAACACGUGGGUGAUCUGCCCUGCACUUCGGGAUAAGCUUGGGAAACUGGGUCUAAUACCGGAUAGGACCGCACUUUAGUGUGUGUGGUGGAAAGUUUUUUCGGUGUAGGAUGAGCUCGCGGCCUAUCAGCUUGUUGGUGGGGUAAUGGCCUACCAAGGCGGCGACGGGUAGCCGGCCUGAGAGGGUGUACGGCCACAUUGGGACUGAGAUACGGCCCAGACUCCUACGGGAGGCAGCAGUGGGGAAUAUUGCACAAGGGGCGCAAGCCUGAUGCAGCGACGCCGCGUGGGGGAUGAAGGCCUUCGGGUUGUAAACUCCUUUCGCUAGGGACGAAGCUUUUUGUGACGGUACCUAGAGAAGAAGCACCGGCUAACUACGUG
This 465-nucleotide ribosomal RNA is filed under the name uncultured bacterium. Its description in RNAcentral is "partial 16S ribosomal RNA". It matches the Rfam family "Bacterial small subunit ribosomal RNA", at positions 28 to 507 of the family's 1533-position model. The record is from RNAcentral.